GAGAUAGAGGCGCGGAUGACAAAAGUAUUUUUCCGGUGAAUUUGGGCAGAAUGCGGAAAAUGAAAGGGGAUUUCGCCGAAACCUCGGAUACCUGCUUCGUAUCAUGAGGUUGGGACAGCGCAGAAUAUGCGUUGUACUGUCGCAAAAGGGCGGAGGGCUAUCAU
RNAcentral lists this non-coding RNA (164 nucleotides) under human gut metagenome. Its description in RNAcentral is "Lysine riboswitch". It matches the Rfam family "Lysine riboswitch aptamer". Rfam says of the family: Riboswitches are metabolite binding domains within certain messenger RNAs that serve as precision sensors for their corresponding targets. Allosteric rearrangement of mRNA structure is mediated by ligand binding, and this results in modulation of gene expression. The record is from RNAcentral.